RNAcentral lists this ribosomal RNA (511 nucleotides) under uncultured archaeon. RNAcentral's name for it is "bacterial SSU rRNA". It matches the Rfam family "Archaeal small subunit ribosomal RNA", at positions 346 to 859 of the family's 1478-position model. The record is from RNAcentral.
AACUGCACAAUGCUGGAAACAGCGAUGCGGGAACACCAAGUGCCGCGACAAAGUCGCGGCUGUUCCAUUGUCUAAAAAACAUAGGAAGUAAGGGCUGGGUAAGACGGGUGCCAGCCGCCGCGGUAAUACCUGCAGCCCGAGUGGUGGCCGUUAUUAUUGGGCCUAAAACGUCCGUAGCCUGUUUGGUAGAUGCCUGUGUAAAUCGAACGGCUCAACCGUUCGAACUGCGGGUAGACCGCCAGACUUGGGACCGGGAGAGUCACGAAGUACUCCGGGGGUAGAGGUGAAAUUCUGUAAUCCUCGGGGGACUACCGGUGGCGAAGGCGUCGUGAUAGAACGGCUCCGACGGUGAGGGACGAAGCCCUGGGGCGCAAACCGGAUUAGAUACCCGGGUAGUCCAGGGUGUAAACGCUGCGGUCUUGGUGUCGGGAAUCCUACGGGGGUACUCGGUGCCGGAGAGAAGUUGUUAAGACCGCCGCCUGGGUAGUACGGUCGCAAGACUGAAACUUAA